RNAcentral lists this long non-coding RNA (411 nucleotides) under Elaeis guineensis (African oil palm). RNAcentral's name for it is "long non-coding RNA (EGUI_LNC043435)". Lineage: Eukaryota; Viridiplantae; Streptophyta; Magnoliopsida; Arecales; Arecaceae. The record is from RNAcentral.
GCAAUGGUGUGGCAUAAAAGCUGUUAUAAUGGUCAAUAUAUGGCCCCAUGUCUCAAUGCAAAUGAAUAUUUUUGUUGAACCGGAUAAGCAUAAAUUGAUACCUGAUCAACCAACUAUAGGAAAUACCUGCAGGUGGACCAUGGCGAUGUUAUUAUAUAUGGUCAAUAAAUUAUAUUUAAGUUUAUCAACCAUGUUUAUUGACCACAGUAUUGGUCAAUUAUAUGAAUACAUUAGACUUGAUGACUUUAGUCCUUUGUAAAUGGGCUCCUAUCAGCAAAGUAAAUCAAAGAUUAAUAGCAUGAAAAAUGAUUUCAUUAAAGACAAUAACAGCUAGAGGAAGAAGCAACAGCAACCAACAGUCAUAACAAGAAGACAAGUAACAGCUAUCCUUGAAUAUUCAUUAAUAGACAG